This 239-nucleotide long non-coding RNA is filed under the name Elaeis guineensis (African oil palm). Its description in RNAcentral is "long non-coding RNA (EGUI_LNC055123)". The record is from RNAcentral. Lineage: Eukaryota; Viridiplantae; Streptophyta; Magnoliopsida; Arecales; Arecaceae.
CUUGAAAUUUUAGCUAUCAUUUUCUCCUCAAUAAAAGUAAAAGCCUCUCUAUUCAAUGGCCUAUCUGAAAGAGAGACACCCAAAUAUUUCUAUAAUCUUGUGUGUUCAUUAACUUCAAACAGCCUUCUAAUUUGAGCUUUAGUUCUUGUUGGGGUUGCUGGACUAAUAGCUAAAUGCGAUUUACUGAAAUUAGGAGCUUGUCCAAAUAAGCAACAAUAGGCAUCAAUAAUUGCUUUAAG